This 460-nucleotide ribosomal RNA is filed under the name uncultured bacterium. RNAcentral's name for it is "partial 16S ribosomal RNA". It matches the Rfam family "Bacterial small subunit ribosomal RNA", at positions 338 to 795 of the family's 1533-position model. The record is from RNAcentral.
CCUACGGGUGGCAGCAGUGAGGAAUAUUGGGCAAUGGGCGCGAGCCUGAACCAGCGAAGUAGCGUGAAGGAUGAAUGCCCUACGGGUUGUAAACUUUUUUGAUAAAGGAAUAAAGUGAGGCACGUGGGCCUUUAUGUAUGGACUUUAUGAAUAAGGAGCGGCUAACUCCGUGUCAGCAGCCGCGGUAAUACGGAGGAUCCAAGCGUUAACCGGAUUUAUUGGGUUUAAAGGGAGCAUAGAUGGGUAGUUAAGUCAGUUGUGAAGGUUUGCGGCUUAACCGUAGAAGUGCAAUUGAUACUGGCUGCCUUGAGUACAGUUGAGGUAAGCGGAAUUCGUGGUGUAGCGGUGAAAUGCUUAGAUAUCACGAAGAACUCCGAUUGCGAAGGCAGCCUACUAAACUGCCACUGACAUUGAUGCUCGAAAGUGUGGGUAUCAAACAGGAUUAGAUACCCGAGUAGUC